AUGUGCUCUCCUGCUGUUCAAUAAACACCAAAAAUUGCAUACAUAUUUAUUUCCAACUAGAAAUUUUACAUCUUUAUUUGCCCUUAUUUAAAUAAAAUAAAGUAAAACUGAAUAUUCAUAAACUUGAACGGAAAGCAUCUAAAUACAAUACGCCCCCAUGUGUUGUACCUCCCCCAGGGUCGACAUUUGUCUUUCCAACUAUUUACAUAACUGAAGAAUGGAAUCUCAAAGUGUGCAAGAGGUCGCCCUCAGUAAUCCUAUUAUUUUGACUCAAAUAUUAAAACAGAGCUCGGCCCCGUUGCGGAGUUGUCGACUAGUUAGCCACUUUUGGAAUGAAAUCGUCCUCCACCUGCCAAAUACCAGGCUCGCGUUAAACCUUGACUACAAGAUCUACGAGGAAAACAACGCACUCCCAUUUUUCGCCAUGUGCUCCCCAUCCGAUGACCGACUCGCGAAACGUGUCAGCGCCACGUGUCCCACCGUUAUCAAAUGCACCCCCUCUCACAGCAUUAAUCCCUUCACCUACAGGAUUAUGCAUAUUUGUGACAAAUUUAGCGACCGGGUUCAAAUUCUAGAUAUUUUCAUCGAGUUUGAAGACUGUUUACAAGUUAUUUUUCAAAUUUUGAAAAAUUACUGCCCCAAUUUAAAGCAGGUACAUAUCGUUCACUUCCGCGACGAGUAUGAAUCCGACAUCGAUGCAGAAAUUCUACCAGCGCCGUUACAGAUAAAACCAAAUUUGACCUGGUUCACAGUCUAUUGUGUGAAAAACGUGACCCCGUCGCUCACCACGCUUAUCCAGCUGGUCAUGGAUGCCUCGCCAAACUUGAAAAAGGUCAGAAUUCCGUGGGGAUUCUAUCCAGAUCUUGGAAAUUCCAAGUGUCUCGAUAACUUGGCUAUUACACUGAAUGAAGUUCGACCAAUGGUCGUCGCCCUGACGGAAUUUAAUCUCCCCGAGCUCUCCCGAAUGUUGGGUCAGGUGGGUGACCAACUCGUCACCUUACAGUUUGAACAUGCCGACAUUGAAGGAGUGUCGAACAGGCUGGAUUUCAAAAACUCCUUGCCCACGGCCAGAUUUCGUUUGCCGAGAAAUAUGUCGAAACUGGUGUCCUUCCAGAACGACAUGAUCGACAUUUUUCAACGCGGGAUCUCCUUCAAGACAUCGAAGGACUCCCGGCUCUCAAGUACUUCGCAGUUGGAACAAUAUUUUUGGGAUCGAGAUGUGUCGAAGAAACUUUAGAAAUUAUGUAUGAAAAGAAAACCAUUUUGAGUAGUGUAAUUAAGUUGAAGAUUUCCGAAAUGCACGAUCCCAGACUUUUGGAGGGGUUGAAGACGGCAUUUCCGAACUUGAGAGAGUUGAUUGUGACCACUAGUGAAGAAAUGGACUCGCGAGGAGAGGUGAGCGGGAUGGAGUUGGGCGUCGUGCUGAAAGCUUGUGGGGAUUGGGGGACCCUGAAACAUUUGGAAAUCGUUGUGCCAUCUUAUCCGAAACAGAUCAUGGAUAUCAUUCAGGCUUUACUCGAUGCUGAGGCGAAGGGGGUUUUUAAAGGGCUAAAAACUUUGAGGAUUUUGACAAACUGUGAAAAUUAUGAGAUACACGAGUUGACCGAAAACGAGCUGGAUCUGUUGAAGAAAUUACUGAUCGCAAUGGAUGGAAUGGAUGCGGUCACAAUUUCCGAUCUUUUUUUUUGCGAAGAAUCUCUAAGGAAUAUACUGCAUUUCCUGGAAACAAACAAAAUGAACGUGUCAAAGUUUAAGAUGUUUCAAGAGGAGAAAUCUGUCAGCGAUUCGGAAGACUCGCCCGAACGAUCUGAAGCAGAGGAUGAUUUUUACUAAAUUUUGAACUUAUGUUUGGAUUUGUUUGUAAGCAAAGUUAGUUAAAAAUUAAAAGUUAAUAAUUGAUACAUAUGUAGAUUAGCUUGAAAUUAUAUACAUAUGUAAAUACCUACAUAAAAAUAUUCCUACCAUACAAAAAUUUUGUAAAUCUGCAUACAUAUGUAUGUAUGUAAUACUUCCAGGUUUCUCAUAAUUUCAGCCCAUUAAUAAAAUAAAU
Molecule: RNA transcript, 2050 nt
Organism: Folsomia candida
Lineage: Eukaryota; Metazoa; Arthropoda; Collembola; Entomobryomorpha; Isotomidae
Exons: 6
Source: RefSeq, a predicted model, not a curated record